AUGACCGUGCUUCAAAGAAUCAUUUCUGUAGGCAAGUUUUCAGCGCUAGUUUUUACCAAAAGGGAAAGCUUACCACCAACGAUGAUGUGACAUACUUUUCAGCUUGGAGCGUGAAACUUGGUUCAGCUAUGCCCAUUCGAUUUAUUCGGAAGGGCACUGAACUUUUGAUGAUCGGCUUCCUUGCAUGACGGUGUCGAUGGCGUCGAGUGAUAAUAACUUCUCGCGUUGA
Aedes aegypti (yellow fever mosquito) is the source of this 229-nucleotide non-coding RNA. The record is from Rfam. Lineage: Eukaryota; Metazoa; Arthropoda; Insecta; Diptera; Culicidae.